UUUUUUCGAUUUAGGUAAAGGUUAAACUUAGUUAUACUGAGCAAACUAUUAAAUAUUGAUCCAAUGCUAUUAAGUUUAUGUUUUUCUAAAGGAUUUUUUUUUCCCAAUUUAGGUAAAGGUUAAACUUAGUUAUACUGAGUAAACUAUUGGAUAUUGAUCCAAUGCUAUUAAGACUCAGUCAAGUUUUGGUUAAUAAAAGA
RNAcentral lists this long non-coding RNA (200 nucleotides) under Salvia miltiorrhiza (redroot sage). Its description in RNAcentral is "long non-coding RNA (SMIL_LNC003608)". The record is from RNAcentral. Lineage: Eukaryota; Viridiplantae; Streptophyta; Magnoliopsida; Lamiales; Lamiaceae.